AUUGAACGCUGGCGGCAUGCUUUACACAUGCAAGUCGAACGGCAGCGCGGGCUUCGGCCUGGCGGCGAGUGGCGAACGGGUGAGUAAUGCAUCGGAACGUGCCCAGUAGUGGGGGAUAGCCCGGCGAAAGCCGGAUUAAUACCGCAUACGACCUGAGGGUGAAAGCGGGGGACCGAAAGGCCUCGCGCUAUUGGAGCGGCCGAUGUCGGAUUAGCUAGUUGGUGGGGUAAAGGCUUACCAAGGCGACGAUCCGUAGCUGGUCUGAGAGGACGACCAGCCACACUGGGACUGAGACACGGCCCAGACUCCUACGGGAGGCAGCAGUGGGGAAUUUUGGACAAUGGGGGCAACCCUGAUCCAGCCAUGCCGCGUGCGGGAAGAAGGCCUUCGGGUUGUAGACCGCUCUUGUUCGGGAAGAAAUCCUCUGGGCUAAUACCCCGGGGGGAUGACGGUACCGGAAGAAUAAGCACCGGCUAACUACGUG
Molecule: ribosomal RNA, 484 nt
Filed under: uncultured bacterium
Lineage: Bacteria
Description: partial 16S ribosomal RNA
Rfam family: Bacterial small subunit ribosomal RNA
Source: RNAcentral